CAUUGUUGUUUUCUUCUUCUUCUUCUUCUUUUUUUUGAGAGAGAGAGAUAGGUAGCACACUACCCGCUUUGUUUAUUUCAUUUAGAAAUAAACUUAGCUGGAAAUAUGAAUCAAAUAGAAUUCAAACUUGGGACCUCGGGUAUCAACCACCAAGCCCUUUACUACUUGCUCUAGGGACGGUCGGUAUGUAAUUCAUUGUUAACUAGAGCAAGGUUCUUGGGUUGUGUUGAUGCCAAAUUUGAAAUGAACACGCCGACCUAGCCCACGUAUGAACCGAAAAAAUAAGGACACGUGGUACACCAGGAGUCAGCAAUAAAGCGCCUGAAGGCCAAGAGCAUUUAGGCCGGAACGGUUGAGAAGUGGGGCGUAACUUUUAUGUAAAAUGGGGCAUAACUUCCAUAAGAAGUGGGGCGUAACUUUCACGAUCAUGGUUACAACCACUCCCCCAACCAACCAAUAAUGUGGGUUGAUGUUACUAUAAAUAGUAAUUUCAAAGCCUGCAAUAGGGGUCUUUCUCCCCGUUGAACGAGAAGACCACCCUAUUUUCCUUGCAAUUUUAUCGCUUUUUUAGGAAUAGUCUAAAUGUAAUCUUUUUCUUUUCCGCAUUUACUGCUUUCCUAGGAGUAGUUCGCUAAGUAGAACCCUGGAGUCUGUCUGCCCCACGGGCAUCACUCCGUUGUAGACUAUAUUUGCAGAGUCUGUCUGCCCAACGGGCAUCACUCUGUUGUAAACUAUAUUUCUGAGUCUGUAUGCCCUUCGGGCACACUCUUUUUUUUUAUUAUAUAAAGGCAUUCGGCUCUUUUAGCCAACUAGUCAUUGUGUACUUCUUCCAUUCGGCUCUUUCAACCGACCAGUUACUGUGUACUUCUUCCAUUCGACACUUCUGCCGACAUUGAUCCCUGCACAGUUCGUACAUUCGGCUCCUCCAGCCGAACCGAUUCUACAGUAAAGGUUUUUGAACUCGGCUAAUCCGAUCCCUCGUCAGCCGAAUCUCUUGAUCUGUCGAAGGGCGCAAACUUCGAGGGUCACUAAUCGUAGCCGUUCCGCAUCCCGACGCGCUCCCCGAGGAGGAUAUUUGACCAGGUCAAGCGUCGGGAAGAUUCGGCUACUAACAAUUUUUGGGACGCCUGGUGGGACUCGAUUUUAGAUAAAUUCACAUUUUUAUUGAAAUUAUGGCUGAUGAUAAUGCCAUGAAUUUGCGCAAUAGGGUUGUUCCUAGAAAUUCUGGGAGUAAUCAACCUAGUGAUUCAGACAAUGCUGGCGAAUGUCAAGCAAUUUUGCCAGUUGAAGGAGAAACUAGUGGACAGUCGGCUCAUCAAGAGCCGAGUCUAACUCAGGCGUUCGGCCAGAUGAGCCGAGUCCUGCAAACUUUAGAUCAAAAUAUCCAUCAAAGUACCGCUCGACUAGACUCUGUGCUGGCCGCCAUCAAGGCCUAUAAUGAAAAUAUUGCACGAAUAGGGUAAUUAUUGACUCGAAAUGAGCAACCAAUGACAGGCUUACAAUGGCCUAUGAUGACACCAGUAUUGCAAAAUCCUGCGAUACCAGUAAAUAGACAGCCCCAAUACCAGGGGACACCAUAUCAAGCGGCUUAUAGACCGGCUGUCGUUAAUGCCGAUCAACAACCGGAGAUAGCGUGGAGGUUACCUCCACCUCCACCAAUCGCAGCAUACCAGCCUCAAAAUGUAGGGGCUAGGGAGCAGGCCCCAAAUGCACAAGGAGCGAACCUUUUGAUACAAAAUUUCGGACCACCACAAGGGCUGAAUCCAGCACAAACACAAGUCCCAUUGCAGGGUAUUAAUAAUGAAAUAUAUACACAAAUCGAGGAAGCCAUCCGAAACACUUUCGGAGUAGGCGCAAGGCCGGGAAUGCGGCCUAUAUUUAGAUCACCAUAUCCUGCGAAUAUUGACACAGAACAUCCUUAUCCGGCAAAUUGGAAGAUGCCAAAAUUUGACAAAUUUUUCGGUGAUGAGACCGAAAACACGGUCGAACAUGUUGCACGGUUUACGGGACAAUGUCGAGAAGCCGCUGCAGAUCCGUUUUUAAAACUUCACAUCGUUAACUAAAACGGCGUUUACUUGGUAUACAAGUUUAUCGGCCAAUUCCGUUCAAGACUGGGACGAAUUGGAAAGAAAAUUUCAUGAGCAAUUUUGUAGGUCGGAGCCACAAUUAUCGAUUGCCAAUUUGGUUUUAUACCGACAAAAGUCAGGUGAAAUGGUCGAAGAGUAUUUGAACCGUUUCAAAAUAGCCAAAAUCCGGUGUCUUAUAAGAAUGCCGGAAUCAGAGUUCGCCAAAAUGGCAUUAAAUGGUUUACAUUUUAAAAUAAAAAACCAUUUUGAAGAUAAGUAUUUUUCUAACAUAUUUGAUCUAAAUGUUAGAGUUGCCCAAUAUGAGCAAUUUCAGAAGAAAUGUGAGGACGAUCGGCUGCAAUGGAGCUGAUAUAAAAAUCAAAGUAAAGGCAAGGAGAAAUCCUUGCUAGAAGAACAGUCGAUUCAAAAGGAGCCGAACCAAUCGAGUGAAAGUGAAGAAUCGGCUAAAGAAGCCGAGGUAUAUAUGGCUAGUAAAGAGCUACUUUCUUUAAGGAGAAAUCCUUGAUAGAAGAACAUUCGGUUCAAGAAGAGCCGAAUCAAUCGAGUAAAAGUAAAAAUCGGUUGAUGGAGCCGAGGUAUAUGCAGCUGGGAUGAUAAAGAGCCGUAUUCUUUAAGCCGACCAAGACCAGCGAAACUAAAGCUUGGAUCUCGGCUAUGCUAUUGAGCAGUCGAUUUGGCACGAAUAGUCAUCUGAAUGUUCAUUCGAAAGACUAUUGAGGGGCAUUGUUGAUGCCAAAUUUGAAAUGAACACGCCGACCUAGCCCACGUAUGAGCCGAAAAAAUAAGGACACGUGGUACACAGGAGUCGGCAAUAAAGCGCCUGAAAGCCAAGAGCGUUUAAGCGGGAACGGUUGAGAAGUGGGGCGUAACUUCUAUGUGAAGUGGGGCAUAACUUUCAUGAGAAGUGGAGCAUAACUUCCACGAUCAUGGUUACAACCACACCCCCAACCAACCAAUAUUGUGGGUUGAUGUUACUAUAAAUAGUAAUUUCAAAGCCUGCAAUAGGGGUUUUUCUCCCCCCUGAACGAGAAGACCACCCUAUUUUUCUUGCAAUUUUAUCGUUUUUCUAGGAGUAGUCUAAAUGUAAUCUUUUUCUUUUUCGCAUUUACUGCUUUCCUAGGAGUAGUUUGCUAAGUAGAACCCUGGAGUCUGUCUGCCCCACGGGCAUCACUCCGUUGUAGACUACAUUUGCAGAGUCUGUCUGCCCAACGGGUAUCACUCUGUUGUAAACUAUAUUUCUGAGUCUGUAUGCCCUUCGGGCACACUCUUUUUUAUUAUAUAUAAAGGCGUUCGGCUCUUUCAGCCGACUAUUCAUUGUGUACUUCUUCCAUUCGGCUCUUUCAGCCGACCAGUUACUGUGUACUUCUUCCAUUCGGCACUUCUGCCAACAUUGAUCCCUGCACAAUUCGUACAUUCGGCUCCUCCAGCCGAACCGAUUCUACAGUAAAGGUUUUCGAACUCGGCUGAUCCGAUCCCUCGUCAGCCGAAUCGCUUGAUCUGUCGAAGGGCGCAAACUUCGAGGGUCACUAAUCAUAGCCGUUCCGCAUCCCGACGCGCUCCCCAAGGAGGAUAUUUGACCAGGUCAAGGGUCAGGAAGAUUCGGCUACUAACA
RNAcentral lists this long non-coding RNA (3699 nucleotides) under Ananas comosus (pineapple). RNAcentral's name for it is "long non-coding RNA (ACOM_LNC012329)". The record is from RNAcentral. Lineage: Eukaryota; Viridiplantae; Streptophyta; Magnoliopsida; Poales; Bromeliaceae.